UAAUACGGAGGGUGCGAGCGUUAAUCGGAAUUACUGGGCGUAAAGCGUGCGUAGGCGGUAGCGUCAGUCAGCCGUGAAAGCCCCGGGCUUAACCUGGGAACGGCGGUUGAGACGGCGCAACUAGAGUGGGCUAGAGGAUCGUGGAAUUCCGGGUGUAGCGGUGAAAUGCGUAGAGAUCCGGAGGAACACCGAUGGCGAAGGCAGCGGUCUGGGGCCACACUGACGCUGAGGCACGACAGCGUGGGGAGCAAACAGGAUUAGAUACCCUGGUAGUCCACGCCGUAAACGAUGAGCACUAGACGCUGGUGGGGUGACCUGCCGGUGUCGUAGCUAACGCGCUAAGUGCUCCGCCUGGGGAGUACGGCCGCAAGGUUGAAACUCAAAUGAAUUGACGG
RNAcentral lists this ribosomal RNA (395 nucleotides) under bacterium enrichment culture. Its description in RNAcentral is "bacterial SSU rRNA". It matches the Rfam family "Bacterial small subunit ribosomal RNA", at positions 521 to 916 of the family's 1533-position model. The record is from RNAcentral.